UACGGAGGGGGCUAGCGUUAUUCGGAAUUAUUGGGCGUAAAGGGCGCGUAGGCGGCCCGGUAAGUCAAAGGUGAAAUCCCUCGGCUCAACUGAGGAACUGCCUUUGAAACUGUCGGGCUUGAGGCCGGGAGGGGGUAGCGGAAUUCCCAGUGUAGCGGUGAAAUGCGUAGAUAUUGGGAGGAACACCGGUGGCGAAGGCGGCUACCUGGACCGGUUCUGACGCUGAUGCGCGAAAGCGUGGGGAGCGAUCCGG
Molecule: ribosomal RNA, 253 nt
Filed under: uncultured bacterium
Lineage: Bacteria
Description: partial 16S ribosomal RNA
Rfam family: Bacterial small subunit ribosomal RNA
Source: RNAcentral